Molecule: long non-coding RNA, 300 nt
Organism: Ailuropoda melanoleuca (giant panda)
Lineage: Eukaryota; Metazoa; Chordata; Mammalia; Carnivora; Ursidae
Exons: 3
Source: RefSeq, a predicted model, not a curated record
GAAAGUGCUCAUCCUUCCCCAGGACUCGGACACGGAGACCUGCACAGCCACCAAACCAGGCCCACGAGGUCAUGGCACAGGGCAGAGUAUCCCAAUGGCCCUUUUUGGACAAGAUUGCUCAGGAACGGCGCGGCCGAUGCGGGAGGUGACACAUUCGGGACCUGUGUCUCGAGGGCACAAGUCCAACACUGUACUGACUGACUGGCUCUGUCUGAGAACACAGCCUCAGGCACAGACUGUUAGGGGUAACUCUAUGUGGGAAAAGAGCGGAUGACAUGAAUCCUGUUAGUUCUGAGACAG